Cataglyphis hispanica is the source of this 1030-nucleotide RNA transcript. RefSeq lists it as uncharacterized. The record is from RefSeq and is a predicted model, not a curated record. NCBI's taxonomy places the organism in Eukaryota, Metazoa, Arthropoda, Insecta, Hymenoptera, Formicidae. The transcript is spliced from 3 exons.
UCACGGUUGCUCCGCCGUCACCCGAUGCCUCUUCCUCCUCCUCCUCCUCUCGUUUACCCUUUGUUGCCGGCACUCACUCGCGAAUACACGAUUAAUUACGAUCACCGGUGUCUUACACGGCACUCCCGACGUUUAUCGCACGCUCCUUAUUAUAUAUACGACGAUAAGACACGCGAAAAAAUAUGGUUUCACAACGAUUCAUACACACAUACACAGAUGCAUACGAGAGUGAAGUUCAUACGCCACUUGCCGCAACGACUAUGCGUUAUAGGUUAAAGAGGAAAGUUCGCGAAUACACGAUCCGUGAAAAACUUAUAUUACGUAUUAUUUAUUUCAAAUAGAUAAACGGCACGAAAUACCUGCCUCGAUAAGCAACUACUGUCGAUACACGUUUCGUUAAUUGUUACUAAUAUAGAGAGUAAUGAUGUAAUUUCUCGAGCACGCACGGAGCACUUCGCGUCAACGCUUACCGCUCAACUCUCACGAUGCGAAUGUCACGGCGCUAAUGUCACGACGUACACAACCGCGCGAACGUUGCGCAUAAACAACGGCGCGGUGAAGGACAUACGUCACAAAAUUCGGCGCUGUGUUUACUGUAGUGACUUUGUUAUUGUUGGCGCGGCGAGAGACGAGACUGGAACGACAAAUAUCACAAUAUAAAGUGCACCAUUGGGAAUGUAAAACAAUUGUAAUUUUGAUCGCGAAUGAGUGCCAUGAAACAACAACAAAAGAUGAAGGCAACGGGCAGAGCAACCUUAGGUGUACCUACAGCGAGCUUUCUCCUUAGCAAGAUCUCGUCCGUGGCGACCGUGGUGAGCGUAGAUCACAUUAGCCAUGGUGGCUAUUCGCAGAUGCUACCAGAGUGCCAUCGAGGAGACGGUGCAGUUGCAAUUCUGAAAGAAUGCAUUACGUGAACAUGCGAGCCGCAUGUUAAUUCACGCUUAUUCGGCGAUAUAGAUCAUAAUUUUGGUCGCGCGAGGCCACGUCAUCGCUAAUACACGUAUUCGUCUUUUUUCAGGCGUACACAUAA